This is a long non-coding RNA of Gadus macrocephalus (Pacific cod), 1568 nucleotides long. RefSeq lists it as uncharacterized. The transcript is spliced from 8 exons. The record is from RefSeq and is a predicted model, not a curated record. NCBI's taxonomy places the organism in Eukaryota, Metazoa, Chordata, Actinopteri, Gadiformes, Gadidae.
GCAAAAAAAAAGCUUUUUUAACUUUGCCUUUAUUUUCUAUUUUAAUACUAAAAUGCCUUUUUAACUUUCUAUUUUACCCAUUUCUUUGCAUACGUUUUCUUUUACUUAUCUUUUAUUUUAUUGUAAGACAAUGUUUGUGAAGCACUUUGAGUCUGCCUUGUAUGAAAAGUGCUAUUUAAAUAAAGUUGCCUUGCCUUGACUUGCCUAGAACUGUACAAGGUUAAAAAGGUAACAUGUAGUUUGUCCCAAGGUGUCUGCCUCCUCACCCAGAGCAAGACCUCCACCUCCUCACCCAGAGCCAGACCUCCACCUCCUGUCAGAAGUCCUCCAGAACAGCUGAAAGGCGAGGCUGAGAGGCUGGGGACCGGAGGCUUGUGGUGCCAGGGUGGACCGGAGACUGAGGCUGGAGACCAGGGGCCUGCAGCACCGGACCAGAGGGUAACCAUCACCAAGCUCAUCUGAAACACUAAAAUCCACGACCAGGAAUCCAUGGCUGAAGGAGCUGAUGGAGGCGCUGUGCUGACGGAGGAGCCGUGCCGAAGGAGCUGAUGGAGGAGCCGUGCUGAAGGCCCUGGGCUGGUGGAGGAGCUGGUGGAGGGCCUGCCUGGGGAAUGACGUCUGUCGUGGGACCAGGACUCUGUCUGAGGAGAGCUGCUGGAGGAGCUGAGACGCUGGAGGACAACUAGGAAUCGACCAACAAGGAUUCCUCAACGUGUUUCUGGAGCGGAGGCGAGCUGACAGGGGAGCCGUGAAUCUGGAGGAUGACCAUCACUCUACCAACAAGGAUUACUUUAGGGCCAGACUCGCGCUGUUUGUUCCAGACCAGGACUCUGGCUGAGGAGAGCUGAUGGAGGAGCCAAGACUCUGGAGGACGACAUCACUCCACCAACCAGGAUCCUCGAAUCUUGAGGACUGAUGGAGAAGCCGUACAUCUGGAAGGUAAAUCCUGAGGACCACCAGGACUCUACCAUCAAGGAUUCCUCAUAAAUGUGCAUGAUUUGGACAUAGUGGACUAGACACACCUGAGCUGAACCUCACCUGAUCCUGUUUGGUCCGGGGUAGACACACCUGAGCUAAACCCGCCCUGAUCCUGACAUCCUGCUGGUCCCGUCUCCUCAGUUCAUCUGAGCUUCGUCCUCCAGAAGACCUGCUGAGCUCAGCAGUCUGAGGCUGAUGGAUCAAUGACCUCCAGUGGGAGUGAUCUUCUUAACCCCACAUGUAACCGUGUGCUUCCACACGCCUUUCCCUCACGUCUGUCACUAACCUCACUACUCUCUACUGCUUCCUCUUUUCUUCCUUCUCUGUGGUUCAAACCUUUACACUGAAGGCGCGUCUUCCUGCCCUCAGAGGGUUUAGCGUUAGGGUUGAGAGUCAGGGUUUAGAGUCAGGGACAGAGCUGGUCAGGGAGGACUGCUUUUACACAAACCUCUUCACUUGCUUUCGGAAUGGUGGUGACAUUUUGAAAAGAUUCAUUUGGGAAAAUGUUUUCCUCUGCUUUCCUUUACAAAUUGUAUUACACUUCUGUCAAGUGUUUUUGUUUAUAUAUUAAAAUCCCACAUCGACUUCUA